RNAcentral lists this ribosomal RNA (479 nucleotides) under uncultured bacterium. RNAcentral describes it as "bacterial SSU rRNA". It matches the Rfam family "Bacterial small subunit ribosomal RNA", at positions 9 to 488 of the family's 1533-position model. The record is from RNAcentral.
GAGUUUGAUCCUGGCUCAGGAUGAACGCUGGCGGCGUGCUUAACACAUGCAAGUCGAGCGAAGCGUUUAAGAUGAUCUCUUCGGAUUGAGUCUUAUAUGACUGAGCGGCGGACGGGUGAGUAACGCGUGGGUAACCUGCCUCAUACAGGGGGAUAACAGUUAGAAAUGACUGCUAAUACCGCAUAAGCGCACAGGGCUGCAUGGCCUGGUGUGAAAAACUCCGGUGGUAUGAGAUGGACCCGCGUCUGAUUAGCUAGUUGGAGGGGUAACGGCCCACCAAGGCGACGAUCAGUAGCCGGCCUGAGAGGGUGAACGGCCACAUUGGGACUGAGACACGGCCCAGACUCCUACGGGAGGCAGCAGUGGGGAAUAUUGCACAAUGGGGGAAACCCUGAUGCAGCGACGCCGCGUGAAGGAAGAAGUAUCUCGGUAUGUAAACUUCUAUCAGCAGGGAAGAAAAUGACGGUACCUGACUAAGA